Molecule: long non-coding RNA, 245 nt
Organism: Scomber japonicus (chub mackerel)
Lineage: Eukaryota; Metazoa; Chordata; Actinopteri; Scombriformes; Scombridae
Exons: 3
Source: RefSeq, a predicted model, not a curated record
CCAAUACCAACAACAACACCAACACAGAGUUUCAGAAGAAGCUCCACAUCUUCAUCAUCUUCCACUGAAACCACUGAACAGUCUGAACAGGAGCAAACUGAGACAACAACAGAUGGAGGUUCAGGUGUGCUGCUGUACGUGGGUCUGACUCUGUUCAUCUUCGUGCUCCUGUUCUCCGUGGCUGUGCUGAUACUCUGCAAGAAAAGAGCCUCUAAACCCAAAGAACAUCCUGAGGAAGCAGUGUA